CACACACACACACACACACACACACAGCUAAUGCCAGUGCAUUUCCUAAGGAAUUCAGAGGGUGUGAGAAAAGCCUUUCGUGUUCACAACCAAGAGAACGAAACACACAUUAGCUAGAGUGCAGGUCUGAGGAGAAAGAGGAAAAAAAACAGAGGCUUUUCUAGGGCCCCACUAUCACAACAAAUGAUUUCAAGACCAAAUCCUUUUCACACCAAGAGUUUGGUCUCCUACCAGAUUUUGCGGGUGGAGACUCACAGUGGUGGGAGUAGGAAGUGGAGAGGUGUCAGCAGUUACCAGGUUGAGGAUGACCUCCAUGGCGGGGAGACACAUGCACACGGCCUGGACUGGACUUUUGUUUGGUCUGUCUGUCUGUCUAUCGGUUUGUGUUUCCCUCGGGAGACGACCACAGCCGGGUGAGAGGUGACGAGCGUGGCCCUAGGAGAGCACUCAUCACUCAGGACACUUCUCCCAAACAAAGUCCACUUGACUCAAAAUCCACCGGACAAAGACUCUAAUUGACAACAAGGAAGUAGAGACUCUUAGGAAUUACUGUUGGCUCGAUUGAAUAUCCAGAAUCCAUAGAGUGCCGGGUACCUCCAGCAGUGAACCAUGACUAUUGAUAGCCGCAGAGUCUAGGGAGUGUUGUGCUGCUGGUUCACAGAGCAGUCGCUCCUCAAAGCCCAUGACCACGCUUCAGUGCCAACACACGCUUCGCAGUACACAGCAACAGGCAGAGAGCCUAUGGAGCACACAUAUAUGCGCUUCGAUAAGCAUGACUCCCACAGACAGCGUGCAUUCGUGGGAGAGCAAGGACUUCUCUGGAGCAAAGGGUCCGUCUGAUGUGGGUUUGGGGUGACAGAGCAGAGGCGGUUAAACAGAUGAAGACUUGCAGGGUUGGAUGGUUAAAAGAAGGAAGAGUUUACUGUGAAGUUAAGUGUUCAAAGAGUCCGUUGGGGAUAAAAUCCUCAGAGGGUGAAAAGAGAGGCAGAGACCCAGAGGACGGAUGUGAGGGGAGCGAGGGAGCAGACAGCAAAAAAAAGAGCCCACCAGGAGCUGUCACUGAGAGGGAGCGAGAGAGGCAGCUAAGGAAAGAGGGGUUGUGAGAAAGCUUUGUGAAGGGAGGAGGGGGGGGCUUUUCUUCUGUUGGAGUUUCUAGGCCAGCUCAGCUCCAAAACAGGGGCUAACUCAGGCAUAAAGAAAGGGAGAAAAAUCUUCCACUCCCGCCUUUUAAUUAUUACACAGUAUGAUUGUCGCAACCAAUCAGUUUCCCAGGUUAUCAUGCUGUUAUGAAUCACUUUCCACUGCCUGUGUGCGCUAACAAACGGGGCUAUACCAAAUGUUACUGCCAACCAAUAAAACACACAAAAAUGCC
Molecule: long non-coding RNA, 1372 nt
Organism: Perca fluviatilis (European perch)
Lineage: Eukaryota; Metazoa; Chordata; Actinopteri; Perciformes; Percidae
Exons: 2
Source: RefSeq, a predicted model, not a curated record